UCUCUACAGGAUCGCGUGCAGUUCAGGUGCUUGGGGGGCACUGGAGCGAAUCCAGGUGUGAGUGUAGGAGGGAAAACGCGGUGUGGACAAAAACAUUGAGUGGAACCGAAACAUCUGGCAGUUUGACUUCCAAGCUUUUUUCUGCGUCUUGGAAAUAUACAUCAACACAGGGAACCAACCCGAAUAAAGGAACAACUGGAAUUUAUAACUGCUUAUAUAACGCAGUUUAAAGUUGCGUAUGUGUCUAUUGCAAGAAAAAAUAUAAAGAGACAAUAUGCUGUAUAAAACAACUAUAAUCUCUCACGAAUGCAUUUAAAUAUUGAAGCAUAUGCUUAAAAAUGGGUGAUUGGAGCCCAACUGAGAUGCAGUGAUUGUGAAUGAAUUAUUUCCGACAUGAUUGUGACAGUUGGCUUCCCGUUGAUUGGCCCUUUUAUGUACAAUUCCCACACCCAUCCAGUCCAUUCUAUGGAAAGAUCCGCUCAUCUCCUUAGCCAGCCAAACCGAGUUUAUGCGUGCUAGUAACUUAAAAUAGUCCAAAAAUAACAGCAUGCCUGCAGGCAGGGAUACCUCGAGGUGAUGUAAGACCGCGAGCAGAGCUUUCAGGCAGAGAAGGACCAAUUGGAUGUAGCGUUAGUGUUAUUGCUAAAUUCUGCUCAUUUUGAUUGAAGCGAGACCAGGAAUAUACAGGAAAAAAGCCUACUUACUUGCAUCAACAGGACAAAUGUGCACAUUUUGAAUAUAAUUCUGUGUGUUACUCACCUUGGGGGACACUGUUGGAGUAACAAAGUGUUGUGGGUGGGGACAUAUCCCAUCUGCCACUGCCCGAAUUCUUUGGGUUAGCAGCUCUCCACAUGGCUCAGUUAAAGGCGCUAGCUACAUGGUCAAUCUGCAGUUAAACGCGCUAUAUGGCCUCUGCAGAAGUUAGAUCAUUCAUACUUCUUGCGCUUCGCUGAGCAGCGCAGGGCUGUUAUCAAGGAAGUGAGUUUGUGUUUAUGCUGGACCUCCAUCCCUCACCUACCACCACCCAAUCAUUUAAAUGCGGAGCUAUAUGUAGCCCUCCACAUUGUUACAUUUGAGAGGCGCUAGGUGAUGCGGUACGGAGCUCAAUUUGGCCUCAGGGUCCCUCUGGAGACUCCGCGAUUGCAUCACAAUAUCCAUACGGCGCCUCCGAAUACAUUUUCGGAUCAAGCAUAAAUUGGCACUCGUGCUGGCUUUCACCGCGUGAGAAGCGACUCUCUGGAACUGUAGAGAUGCGUGAGAAACCACACUCCAAACUGCAGGAGCAUGCUACAGUCGAACAAGGCAUCGCAACGAACUGACUGGACUUUUAAUCCACACCAACGGAUUUAUACGGUUUAAAUCGAUGUUUAUUAAUUAAGCAGGUUUCGUCGGCAUCUGCUCCGUGGUUCGUUGACUGUCAGAUCUCAUUGGAUAUCCCUGGACCCACGGCCAGAUGUGCGUGCUGUGCGUUAUGGAGUUAUAUAUCGAGUUAUGUUCAGCUGUGGAUCGAUUUACGCAUGCUUGAGGUUCAACAUUUAGAUGUCGACAUCCGACUUGGAUCGCUUUUUACUCACCAUGCUUAUGGAUAUUCAUAUCCCGCGGACCCAUUGGCGACAGUUGCCCAGGAGUUGGGUUAGAACUAUAGAACGCAUCAGCAUCAAUGACACAGGUGGAUGUCAACAAGCUCGUGUUUUACAACUUGCCACAUAACGGCCCUUUGCUUAAAUGUAAGAAGAAACUCGAUUUUGGAUUGUAAAAUGGCACACCUGGAUAAGACGUGGCAAGAACAUCAUUUUGAAGUGGCCUUACAGGUGCGUAACAAAUGCCUUGGCGAGUCAGAAUGCCUGGAGCAAAUGAAACAACAGGGAAUUCCGGACGUGAUAUGAAGAAAUGGUGUGAGGACAAGACCCCCAAGCCUCUCCCUCUACUGAAAGCUGAGUGGGACAGAGAGGGUGUGAAGAAAGACGCCCCCCUCUACCCCUUAGUCCUGAAGAGAGACGAAUUAACCAGUUGAAAAAGAGUGACUCACACUCUCCUCUCUGCUCAUCCAUCCCAUCCCUCAUUCCAUCUGGUUUGUAUUUCUUUGGAUGUUUCUCCACCUCCAGCCUCUGGGUAGUACCAGCGCCAAGGCCCAGAUGGCUGCCGACCCAGCCCCACCACGGAGAGUGUACACUGGGUUGGAAAACGCCUGGGCUUGCCUCUUGGCUGGGGUAUGGAUGGUGGGGUAUGGUUGGGAAGGGAAGGGCGGUCUUGGCUGGUAAUGGGACUCCGGCACUGACGCAACAUCCGUCGAUCAUCCAUCGCAUUCAUUGGUAGUUGAUACCCUCCGUGCUAAGGGCGAGAACCCAGUCGUGUUGAGGGGUGUUGCGGCGUGGACAGUGAGAGAGGACGCCACAGACUGGCCAGACGUCCCCUAGAUCAGUAACUGAGACUGGCAUCUCAUGGAACUGGUGCGGGCAUCAGUACCAGACUGAUAAACUGGCAUGAGAAACUAUUUUAGCAUCUAAAUAGCAUGUCUAAAUGUAAUGGUUUUCAGCUCCAGAAGUCAGCAUGGAGAACCUGAUUGGUGCUGUAUUGUAGUCUGUUUUUAACAGACAAGAGCCAUAUGAUAUCAGGACGACCUACUUUUAGUGACACACUUGUUUUUGAAGCUCAAAGGGAGUACACACUGGUGAAGGAAGUAUGGCUUAUGUUUGUUUACGUCCAAAUGCUUUGGAGAAAGGGUGGUCACAUCCUAUGGCAGAUUAUCCUUUCUUUAAGGGAGAGAAGAGAGAGAGAGAGGGAAGGAGAAAGUAAAGAAGCGGUGCCUGAGGGGCAGUCCUUUGUUUCGUUUUGUUUAUUCCUCCACGUGUCUAAAUAAAAAAGGCCUCGGCGGAA
Oncorhynchus nerka (sockeye salmon) is the source of this 2877-nucleotide long non-coding RNA. RefSeq lists it as uncharacterized. The record is from RefSeq and is a predicted model, not a curated record. NCBI's taxonomy places the organism in Eukaryota, Metazoa, Chordata, Actinopteri, Salmoniformes, Salmonidae. The transcript is spliced from 3 exons.